This 436-nucleotide ribosomal RNA is filed under the name uncultured bacterium. RNAcentral describes it as "bacterial SSU rRNA". It matches the Rfam family "Bacterial small subunit ribosomal RNA", at positions 29 to 350 of the family's 1533-position model. The record is from RNAcentral.
AACGAACGCUGGCGGCAGGCCUAACACAUGCAAGUCGAGCGGCCCACCACCUGAUGUGGUGGGCAGAUAUCAGAGAUCGGAUGUCGGAUGUCGGAAGUCGGAUCGGAAGGCUUUGUGCUUUGCGGUUUUGACUUUUUGACAUCUGAUUUCCGACAUCCGACAUCUGCCCACCGCCUUUGGCGGUGGGCAGCGGCAGACGGGUGAGUAACGCGUGGGAACGGCCCUUCGGUCCGGAAUAACCCAGGGAAACUUGGCUAAUACCGGAUACGCCUUACGAGCGAUCGGAAGGGGAAAGAUUCAUUGCCGAAGGAUCGGCCCGCGUCGGAUUAGCUAGUUGGUGGGGUAAAAGCCUACCAAGGCGACGAUCCGUAGCUGGUCUGAGAGGAUGAUCAGCCACACUGGGACUGAGACACGGCCCAGACUCCUACGGGAGGCA